RNAcentral lists this ribosomal RNA (808 nucleotides) under uncultured Gammaproteobacteria bacterium. Its description in RNAcentral is "bacterial SSU rRNA". It matches the Rfam family "Bacterial small subunit ribosomal RNA", at positions 33 to 836 of the family's 1533-position model. Lineage: Bacteria; Pseudomonadati; Pseudomonadota; Gammaproteobacteria. The record is from RNAcentral.
ACGCUGGCGGCAGGCCUAACACAUGCAAGUCGAGCGGAUUUUGGUAGCUUGCUACCAAAGUUAGCGGCGGACGGGUGAGUAACGCGUAGGAAUCUACCUAGUAGUGGGGGAUAACGUUCCGAAAGGAACGCUAAUACCGCAUACGCCCUAAGGGGGAAAGGGGGGGAUCUUCGGACCUCUCGCUAUUAGAUGAGCCUGCGUAGGAUUAGCUAGUUGGUAGGGUAAAGGCCUACCAAGGCGACGAUCCUUAACUGGUCUGAGAGGAUGAUCAGUCACACUGGAACUGAGACACGGUCCAGACUCCUACGGGAGGCAGCAGUGGGGAAUAUUGGACAAUGGGGGAAACCCUGAUCCAGCCAUGCCGCGUGUGUGAAGAAGGCCUUCGGGUUGUAAAGCACUUUCGGUCAGAAAGAAGGGUGUGUAGUUAAUAUCUGCAUGCCUUGACGGUACUGACAUAAGAAGCACCGGCUAACUCCGUGCCAGCAGCCGCGGUAAUACGGAGGGUGCAAGCGUUAAUCGGAAUUACUGGGCGUAAAGCGCGCGUAGGCGGUUUGUUAAGUCGGAUGUGAAAGCCCUGGGCUCAACCUGGGAACUGCAUACGAUACUGGCAAGCUAGAGUGCAAUAGAGGGGGGUAGAAUUCCAGGUGUAGCGGUGAAAUGCGUAGAUAUCUGGAGGAAUACCGGUGGCGAAGGCGGCCCCCUGGAUUGACACUGACGCUGAGGUGCGAAAGCGUGGGUAGCAAACAGGAUUAGAUACCCUGGUAGUCCACGCCGUAAACGAUGUCAACUAGCUGUUGGGACUCUUGUA